UGACUUGGAGUCUCUGGGGUACGU
Molecule: non-coding RNA, 24 nt
Filed under: Cricetulus griseus (Chinese hamster)
Lineage: Eukaryota; Metazoa; Chordata; Mammalia; Rodentia; Cricetidae
Source: RNAcentral